This 110-nucleotide ribosomal RNA is filed under the name uncultured eukaryote. RNAcentral describes it as "partial small subunit ribosomal RNA". It matches the Rfam family "Eukaryotic small subunit ribosomal RNA", at positions 1676 to 1785 of the family's 1831-position model. The record is from RNAcentral.
UCGCACCUACCGAUUGAAUGGUCCGGUGAAGCCUCGGGAUUGUGACCAGUUUCCUUCAUUGGGAGUUGGUUGCGAGAACUUGUGUAAACCUUAUCACUUAGAGGAAGGUG